This 831-nucleotide long non-coding RNA is filed under the name Zonotrichia albicollis (white-throated sparrow). Its description in RNAcentral is "lncRNA (ENSZALG00000005587.1)". The record is from RNAcentral. Lineage: Eukaryota; Metazoa; Chordata; Aves; Passeriformes; Passerellidae.
UUUUCCCUUCCAUUCUUCGCAGUCAGAACAUUAGAAAGUAUGACCCAUGUUAACAUUCUUAUGCAUCACAUUCCUCCUUUGUCUUCUGUGGGAAAAGUUUCAGCUUGGUUUCUUGAUGUCACUGGAGUUGUUUACUGCCCCUUUUUUUUUCUGUAUUUCCUACGUUAUUCAGGUUAUACUAAUCACCAGAGGGGAAGGAAACAACUCCAGAGCAGAUUGAAUUGACGUUUAAUUGGACAUCCUGUGAAAUAAACAUUGUGACUUGGAUAAGAUUAAAAUGUGAGUCACAAGUCUGGUGAGUUUUCAACUGUCAGGGAACGCAGUGAAGGAAUGAGGGAAGAACAGCAAGGAGAGAGCAGCUAGAAGCAAUGCUCAGUAGAGCAGCAGCUGCUGGACUUGCAUGCUUGUUUUCAUGAGGCUUAUAUUAAAAGUAGAGUGAACAAAACUAGAGAAAACAACCGACAGUUCUUUAUUUAAGAAUUAUUACAUUUUCAAACAGAUUUUAUUUUCUGUUUUUUUGCCUGUACUGAACCUGUCUGUGAAUGCCCUCUAGCAGUAAACCACUGUCCAGCUCAGCUAAAUUCUUGGAUAUUAAAGCUUUGAUUUAAGAAAGGACAAGGUGCAGUGAUGACAGGCAGGACCAUCAUGUCAGAGCCCAGCAAUAGAAGCAUCUUCUCAAGAUCAGUUCAACUCAGCUCUGGACUGGUGCCUGACAGUUCCAGAUCAAAGGGGUCAAGAUAUCUGACCUAUUUACAGAAAAGGAGCAGAUUGAGAGCUUGCCUGUACCGGUGCAGAAGGAUGCCAACCUCAGCAGAGUUUACUUUUUUCUGA